CUCGUUUAAACCGCAGUUAAACCGC
This 25-nucleotide non-coding RNA is filed under the name Arabidopsis thaliana (thale cress). Lineage: Eukaryota; Viridiplantae; Streptophyta; Magnoliopsida; Brassicales; Brassicaceae. The record is from RNAcentral.